This 85-nucleotide transfer RNA is filed under the name Actinomycetota bacterium. RNAcentral describes it as "Actinobacteria bacterium tRNA-Leu". It matches the Rfam family "tRNA". From Rfam's summary of the family: Transfer RNA (tRNA) molecules are approximately 80 nucleotides in length. Their secondary structure includes four short double-helical elements and three loops (D, anti-codon, and T loops). Lineage: Bacteria; Bacillati; Actinomycetota. The record is from RNAcentral. RNAcentral also lists the same sequence under 1 other name.
GUCGAAGUGGCGGAAUAGGCAGACGCACCAGUUUAAGGGACUGGCGCCUUAGGGCGUGGGGGUUCAAGUCCCCCCUUCGACACCA